This 333-nucleotide ribosomal RNA is filed under the name uncultured bacterium. Its description in RNAcentral is "partial 16S ribosomal RNA". It matches the Rfam family "Bacterial small subunit ribosomal RNA", at positions 568 to 898 of the family's 1533-position model. The record is from RNAcentral.
UGCGUAGGUUGUUUUUUAAGUCUAAGGUAAAAAAUCUAAGCGAAACUUAGAAAUUAUUUUAGAUACUAUUAAACUUUGAGGAUAUUAGAAGUUUGUUGUAUUCUCGAUGUAAAGGUGAAAUUUCAAGAUAUCGGGAGGACGUUCAAAAGGCAAAGGCAACUUACUAGAAUAUUUCUGACACUGAAGUACGAAAGCAUAGGUAUCAAAUGGGAUUAGAGACCCCAGUAGUCUAUGCCCUCAACAAUGAAUGCUAAGGAUUUAAUUUUUUUUUCAAUUAGAUUCUAAAGCUAACGCGAAAGCAUUCCGCCUGGAUAGUACGACCGCAAGGUUAAA